This 860-nucleotide ribosomal RNA is filed under the name Chaetomium globosum. RNAcentral's name for it is "LSU rRNA". It matches the Rfam family "Eukaryotic large subunit ribosomal RNA", at positions 38 to 931 of the family's 3401-position model. The record is from RNAcentral. Lineage: Eukaryota; Fungi; Ascomycota; Sordariomycetes; Sordariales; Chaetomiaceae.
GCAUAUCAAUAAGCGGAGGAAAAGAAACCAACAGGGAUUGCCCUAGUAACGGCGAGUGAAGCGGCAACAGCUCAAAUUUGAAAUCUGGCUUCGGCCCGAGUUGUAAUUUGCAGAGGAAGCUUUAGGCGCGGCACUUUCUGAGUCCCCUGGAACGGGGCGCCAUAGAGGGUGAGAGCCCCGUAUAGUUAGAUGCCUAGCCUGUGUAAAGCUCCUUCGACGAGUCGAGUAGUUUGGGAAUGCUGCUCAAAAUGGGAGGUAAAUUUCUUCUAAAGCUAAAUACCGGCCAGAGACCGAUAGCGCACAAGUAGAGUGAUCGAAAGAUGAAAAGCACUUUGAAAAGAGGGUUAAAUAGCACGUGAAAUUGUUGAAAGGGAAGCGCUUGUGACCAGACUUGCGCCGGGCAGAUCAUCCGGUGUUCUCACCGGUGCACUCUGCCCGGCUCAGGCCAGCAUCGGUUCUCGCGGGGGGAUAAAGGCCCUGGGAACGUAGCUCCUCCGGGAGUGUUAUAGCCCGGGGCGUAAUGCCCUCGCGGGGACCGAGGUUCGCGCAUCUGCAAGGAUGCUGGCGUAAUGGUCAUCAGCGACCCGUCUUGAAACACGGACCAAGGAGUCAAGGUUUUGCGCGAGUGUUUGGGUGUAAAACCCGCACGCGUAAUGAAAGUGAACGUAGGUGAGAGCUUCGGCGCAUCAUCGACCGAUCCUGAUGUUUUCGGAUGGAUUUGAGUAGGAGCGUUAAGCCUUGGACCCGAAAGAUGGUGAACUAUGCUUGGAUAGGGUGAAGCCAGAGGAAACUCUGGUGGAGGCUCGCAGCGGUUCUGACGUGCAAAUCGAUCGUCAAAUCUGAGCAUGGGGGCGAAAGAC